GCGAGAAUAGAAGAAGCUUUGUAUUUGACUUCUUGAUCAAAUUGAUUUCUUCAGGGAUAUUGAUUGGCGGAGUGGGAUCACUUCUCAGCUCGAAUUCUUCCGCGUCCAAUUCGCAUUUAUCGUUUGCUGACUUCCCUAAAGAAACAACAUGGACAACAGUGAAAGAAGAUCAAUUCCAAUACCCAUCAUCACCAAAUCACCAAAAUAUAAAUCCAAAGAAGAAAUCCAAAUUUCUAUUUGGAGGUAAGAAUGUUCCCUUUUUCCCAUUGAUCUAAGUUAAAUGUGUUUAGGCUAAAGUUUACCAUUUCAUUCAUACUUUACACUGGACUCCAGAUGAUUAUAGGAGAAGGGUGUUUUUCAACUAUGAAAAACGUAUAAGAAUCCAAAGUCCUCCUGAGAAGGUGUUUGAAUAUUUUGCGUCUAUCCACACACCUGAAGGGGAAAUAUAUAUGAGACCAUCAGAUCUGAUGAGGGCCAUUGUCCCUGUGUUUCCUCCAUCUGAGUCCAAUCGUGUUAGAGAAGGCUUUUUAAGAGGAGAAAGAAGAAUGUCUGGAGAACUAUGUUGUGCUCCUUCUACCUUUUUCAUGCUCUUCGACACCAACAAUGAUGGCCUCAUCUCUUUUGCAGAGUAAGAAUUCUUGGACCUUUCUUCCAACUUCAUGAUCAUUUACACAACCGGACAUUCACAUAUAGUUGAACUUCAUUCAAACUUAAAUAAAUACCUAAUGCUUUUAUUAUAAUUUUUAGUUCAUGAUUUAUUUCCGGUGAGCUAUCUAAUAAAUUGUUGAAUUUUAAUAAGGUUAAAGUAUUCAACUUUAAGUUUAUAGUGCCCAAACCUAUGGGAUCAAAACCAAAAGAUCAUGCAUUGUGCUCUCAUCUCUUCUGUUUGCAGGUACAUAUUUUUUGUUACACUUCUCAGCAUACCAGAAUCCAGCUUUUCAGUGGCAUUCAAAAUGUUUGACAUUGAUAACAAUGGGUUAGAUAAUUAAUUGCUUCUUCAAAUUCGUCACUUUCCACAUUUGUUUCCUCUACUAUUCACAAUCCUCUUGGGUAAUGAAUGUUAUCUGUGUUAUCUGUCUUUGUUGAUAAAAAUAGUGAAAUAGACAGGGAGGAGUUCAAGAAAGUGAUGGGUUUGAUGAGAAAACAGAACAGACAGGGAGCUCAUCACAGAGAGGGAAGAAGGUUUGGGAUGAAGGUUAGUGUUGAAAAUGGUGGUUUAGUAGAAUACUUCUUUGGUCAAGAUGGAAAAGCCUCCCUUCACCAUGACAAAUUUGUCCAAUUCCUAAGACAACUUCAUGAUGAGGUAUGUCAUUCCCCCAAAUAUCAAUUCUUCAUGUACUUUAACACUUUUGAACUCAAAGACACAAUUGUACAACCUAAAAAACAAAACCUGUUCAAAUUCAGAACAGUUCCAAUUCAAAUUCAAGCAAGGUAUUUCUUCCUAUGCGUAACUCUUUAGAACUCAAGGCAUGGCUGACGGCUGUACAACCUAUAGAACAAAUGUAUGGAAAUUCAAGUAAGACUGUUAUUCCUGUGCGAAACUCUUUAAACUCAAAGGUUACGGUUGUACAAGCUAUAGAACAGAUCUAUUCAAAUUCAUGUAAGGUUGCUCUUCCUAACUCUUUAGACUCAAAGAUACGAUUGUACAAUCUAUACAAAAGAUCCCUAUUCUUUAUUAAUAAAAAACAUGAUUGGAGAAACUAUAAAGCAGAUCCUAUUCAAAUUCAGGUAAGGUCUUCUACCUACACAUGACUCAACCUACAUAAAUUGGAUGAAUGCAGAUACUUCUACUAGAGUUUUCACAUUAUGACUUCAAAUCACAAGGAAGCAUAUCAGCCAAAGACUUUGCACUGUCAAUAGUUGCUUCAGCAGACAUAAAUCACAUAGACAAACUACUGGACAGAGUUGAAGCAUUAAACAAAGAACCCCAUUUCAAAAACAUCAGAAUCACAUUUGAUGAAUUCAAAGACUUCGCAGAGCUACGCAAGAAAUUAGAAUCCUUCUCUUUGGCUAUUUUCAGCUAUGGUAAAGUAAAUGGAGAAUUAACAAAACAAGAUUUCCAAAGAGCAGCUUCCCAUGUAAGUACACACCAAACAUUUUAAGUCAACAAACUUAAAAUCAAUCUAAUACAAAAUGUGGGUUUUGUUUUUCUGUACAAGGUGUGUGGAGUUUCAAUCACUAAGAAUGUUGUGGACAUAAUAUUUCACAUAUUUGAUGCAAAUGAAGAUGGGGAUUUAAGCUCAGAUGAGUUCGUAAGAGUCAUACAAAGAAGAGAAGUGAAUUCUACACAACCAGCUGUUGGUGCUGGAGGAUUACUGUCUUGUUGGUUUGGCUGUGCAGCUAAAUGUUCUUACGCAAAGCUCUUUGUUCGCAGCUGAAGAAUUUUUUGCCCUAAUGAUGUUCCUGUAAACAUGUAAAUUUUCCGACAUGCUGAAGUACUUUCUAGUGGACUGUGUUCUUUAGGGAUAUAUCCAUUAACAAGAUUGAUCUUCGAUUUUAAGUUCAAUAAAAAUAAAGAAAUUACAAAACUUUGUUUCUCUCAUUUUGAAAACAAAAU
RNAcentral lists this long non-coding RNA (2557 nucleotides) under Cucumis sativus (cucumber). Its description in RNAcentral is "long non-coding RNA (CSAT_LNC000494)". Lineage: Eukaryota; Viridiplantae; Streptophyta; Magnoliopsida; Cucurbitales; Cucurbitaceae. The record is from RNAcentral.